This 305-nucleotide ribosomal RNA is filed under the name uncultured bacterium. RNAcentral describes it as "bacterial SSU rRNA". It matches the Rfam family "Bacterial small subunit ribosomal RNA", at positions 334 to 631 of the family's 1533-position model. The record is from RNAcentral.
GGGGCCUACGGGGCGCAGCAGUAGGGAAUCUUCGGCAAUGGGCGAAAGCCUGACCGAGCAACGCCGCGUGAAUGAAGAAGGCCUUCGGGUUGUAAAAUUCUGUUAUAAGGGAAGAAAGGUGAUAGGAGGAAAUGACUAUCAAUUGACGGUACCUUAUGAGAAAGCCACGGCUAACUACGUGCCAGCAGCCGCGGUAAUACGGAGGGUGCGAGCGUUAAUCGGAAUUACUGGGCGUAAAGCGCUCGUAGGCGGUAUGUCAAGUCGAGGGUGAAAUCCCCGCGCUCAACGUGGGAACUGCCUUUGAA